RNAcentral lists this ribosomal RNA (550 nucleotides) under uncultured bacterium. RNAcentral describes it as "bacterial SSU rRNA". It matches the Rfam family "Bacterial small subunit ribosomal RNA", at positions 117 to 653 of the family's 1533-position model. The record is from RNAcentral.
GUGGGGAACCUGCCCCUAAGUCUGGGAUACCAUUUGGAAACAGGUGCUAAUACCGGAUAAUAAAGCAGAUCGCAUGAUCAGCUUUUGAAAGGCGGCGUAAGCUGUCGCUAAGGGAUGGCCCCGCGGUGCAUUAGCUAGUUGGUAAGGUAACGGCUUACCAAGGCGACGAUGCAUAGCCGAGUUGAGAGACUGAUCGGCCACAUUGGGACUGAGACACGGCCCAAACUCCUACGGGAGGCAGCAGUAGGGAAUCUUCCACAAUGGACGCAAGUCUGAUGGAGCAACGCCGCGUGAGUGAAGAAGGUUUUCGGAUCGUAAAGCUCUGUUGUUGGUGAAGAAGGAUAGAGGUAGUAACUGGCCUUUAUUUGACGGUAAUCAACCAGAAAGUCACGGCUAACUACGUGCCAGCAGCCGCGGUAAUACGUAGGUGGCAAGCGUUGUCCGGAUUUAUUGGGCGUAAAGCGAGCGCAGGCGGAAAAAUAAGUCUAAUGUGAAAGCCCUCGGCUUAACCGAGGAACUGCAUCGGAAACUGUUUUUCUUGAGUGCAGAA